GAUGAAGUUUCGGUGGCAAUUGUCACCUAGAAGUCACAUGUGGACACCGCUACAUAUAUACAUAUAUAAAGCCUAUUAACGGAAGCUAUUCACGAAAAAGUUUCGGAUAAUCCGGCCCUAUUUUCCGAACAAACCUUUCCUGUAAACAGUUCAAUAUGUACACUACUUUGUCUUCUAACGAACAAUUCACUCUGCGGGUUCACCUCCGGUGGCAUUUCUUGCAUGCAUGCAUGCGGACAAUGGUCACAGCCAUAGCUAAUUCGGUCUUUCGAUCAUACCCACAUUUCUAGACUGCUUCUUCCAAUAAAUAAAUAAAUAAAUACAGCCAUGAACAUGUUGUUGUCUUAAGAGGGACAUCUUCAGACAGCAGUCAAAAACAACCAAGUGUACCGAGUGAGACUAAAAGUUACACCAUCUAACUUUUUAAUAUGAAUCAUCACUUCGCACUAUUCAACGUUUUUUGUAGUUAGUAUAAAUACCAAUCCGGAAAUAAAAAUGUGUAUUUAUCGGUGGCGCAUUAGCUAGCAUGACCGCUAUUCCAUAAAAGCUACUUACAUAUGUGCAGAUUACAAAGGAAGGAAGUAACAUUCAGUUUUCUUCCAUGAUAAUUAAAAAUCUAAUAAUUGAACAUAUUAAAUUUAACGAAAUCAUCAUCUCACCAUUUAGGGCAUACCAAUUAGCUCAAUAAUGGAGCUUAGAAAGACUAAUUAUGGAAUGUCGUUUGGUUGACACAAAAGCUCGCUUCUUCAUGUCGUCAACUUACAAAAUCAUAGAUUCUUUCACAAA
Molecule: long non-coding RNA, 786 nt
Filed under: Capsella rubella
Lineage: Eukaryota; Viridiplantae; Streptophyta; Magnoliopsida; Brassicales; Brassicaceae
Description: long non-coding RNA (CRUB_LNC002410)
Source: RNAcentral